Molecule: ribosomal RNA, 447 nt
Filed under: uncultured bacterium
Lineage: Bacteria
Description: SSU rRNA
Rfam family: Bacterial small subunit ribosomal RNA
Source: RNAcentral
AGAGCGAACGCUGGCGGCAGGCUUAACACAUGCAAGUCGAGCGGGCACUUCGGUGUCAGCGGCAGACGGGUGAGUAACGCGUGGGAACGUACCUUUUGGUUCGGAACAACACAGGGAAACUUGUGCUAAAUACCGGAUAAGCCCUUACGGGGAAAGAUUUAUCGCCGAAAGAUCGGCCCGCGUCUGAUUAGCUAGUUGGUGAGGUAACGGCUCACCAAGGCGACGAUCAGUAGCUGGUCUGAGAGGAUGAUCAGCCACAUUGGGACUGAGACACGGCCCAAACUCCUACGGGAGGCAGCAGUGGGGAAUAUUGGACAAUGGGCGCAAGCCUGAUCCAGCCAUGCCGCGUGAGUGAUGAAGGCCCUAGGGUUGUAAAGCUCUUUUGUCCAGGAAGAUAAUGACUGUACCGGAAGAAGUAAGCCCGGCUAACUUCGUGCCAGCAGCCGC